RNAcentral lists this long non-coding RNA (1218 nucleotides) under Chrysemys picta bellii (western painted turtle). Its description in RNAcentral is "lncRNA (ENSCPBG00000003896.1)". The record is from RNAcentral. Lineage: Eukaryota; Metazoa; Chordata; Testudines; Emydidae.
AUGCUGUACACAACCGCACACCGAGAUGUUGGCACAAACGUGUUGUCACACAAAUACAUGGGAUACAGCAUACCAAACACGGACAAUCGGACACAGUUCAGUUCAGUAAGACUUUACACUCCUGCGGCAUCACACGCAACAACAGAUUCACCCGCUGCACACAUGCAACAUGCACACCCUCGCCAACACACCCAGACACACACUAAUUCACAAACACACCCUUGUAGGCCCGUACCAUACACAAACUUCCUAAUACUCUCUAUACACAGACACUCAACACCUCUACCCCUAUAUUACCUCUACACUGCGUACACUCACACUCCAAAUACACAAACACACACUGAUUCCUAUGCUCUACACCUGCACAUACACACACUUCACAUACAAACAACAACAUACCUACGCUGUACAUACCAGCACAUCAGAACAUAUGUUCACAAGCAUCCAUACCUGUAGGGUACACACCCAGACACCAGACACUGACAAACACACACCCAUCCAUCACAUGCACACACAAACGUAUUCAUUGUACAAACACUCGCAAACACACUCACCCUACUUGCAAGCAUACCAACUGAAUACGCAAAUGCACUUAUUCACACGCACACCGUACAAACACACAUAGGUACACUCAUUCACUCAUGUUCUACAUACACAAAUACACUCACCGUUACACAAAUAUACUCCUGUUUGCAUGCCCAUUGUACAAACAAGGCCACACAUUCACCAACACACCCUUACAUGGUACACACCCAAAUACAGCCUCACUCUCACACACCCCCAAAUGCACACCUGUUCACCUGCACACUGUACAAAGGCACACUUAUCCUGUCAGCCACUCACAAGCACACCCACGGCACAUGCACACUCACAUUGUACACGCCCACGCUACACCCACAAACGCACACUCAUUCACAAACCCACCCACGGUACACACGCAAAUCCAUACUCGUUCACAUCCGCUGCAGAAACACACACACACAAAGGCGCAUCCACGAACACACGCUCACAAGCGCAGCCUGCACGCACGUACACAUGCUCCCCCCCCCCGGAGACACACACACACGCACGCCUGACACAGACUGAGCACUCACUAGCCGACUGAACUGUUUUUGCACUAGGACAGCCUCACACUGGGGUGAAUUUCAAACAUGUUGAACAAAACCCGUCUGCAAUUCCCCAUCCCUUACAUCUGGAAUAUCUUAAACUCCUCUCUCU